Molecule: ribosomal RNA, 499 nt
Filed under: uncultured bacterium
Lineage: Bacteria
Description: bacterial SSU rRNA
Rfam family: Bacterial small subunit ribosomal RNA
Source: RNAcentral
ACGAACGCUGGCGGCGUGCCUAAUACAUGCAAGUCGAGCGGAGUGAUGAAGAAGCUUGCUUCUUCUGAUUUUAGCGGCGGACGGGUGAGUAACACGUGGGCAACCUACCUUGUAGAUUGGGAUAACUCCGGGAAACCGGGGCUAAUACCGAAUAAUCCAUUUUGCUUCAUGGCGAGAUGUUGAAAGACGGUUUCGGCUGUCACUAUAAGAUGGGCCCGCGGCGCAUUAGCUAGUUGGUAAGGUAAUGGCCUACCAAGGCGACGAUGCGUAGCCGACCUGAGAGGGUGAUCGGCCACACUGGGACUGAGACACGGCCCAGACUCCUACGGGAGGCAGCAGUAGGGAAUCUUCCACAAUGGACGAAAGUCUGAUGGAGCAACGCCGCGUGAGUGAAGAAGGUUUUCGGAUCGUAAAACUCUGUUGUAAGGGAAGAACACGUACGAGAGUAACUGCUCGUACCUUGACGGUACCUUAUUAGAAAGCCACGGCUAACUACGUG